AGUCGAACGGAGCUUAGAGAGCUUGCUUUUUAAGCUUAGUGGCGAACGGGUGAGUAACGCGUGAGUAACCUGCCCUAGAGUGGGGGACAACAGUUGGAAACGACUGCUAAUACCGCAUAAGCCCACGGUACCGCAUGGCACUGAGGGAAAAGGAUUUAUUCGCUUUAGGAUGGACUCGCGUCCAAUUAGCUAGUUGGUGAGGUAACGGCCCACCAAGGCGACGAUUGGUAGCCGGACUGAGAGGUUGAACGGCCACAUUGGGACUGAGACACGGCCCAGACUCCUACGGGAGGCAGCAGUGGGGGAUAUUGCACAAUGGGGGAAACCCUGAUGCAGCGACGCCGCGUGGAGGAAGAAGGUUUUCGGAUUGUAAACUCCUGUCGUUAGGGACGAUAAUGACGGUACCUAACAAGAAAGCACCGGCUAACUACGUGCCAGCAGCCGCGGUAAAACGUAGGGUGCAAGCGUUGUCCGGAAUUACUGGGUGUAAAGGGAGCGCAGGCGGGAAGACAAGUUGGAAGUGAAAACCAUGGGCUCAACCCAUGAAUUGCUUUCAAAACUGUUUUUCUUGA
This 572-nucleotide ribosomal RNA is filed under the name uncultured bacterium. Its description in RNAcentral is "bacterial SSU rRNA". It matches the Rfam family "Bacterial small subunit ribosomal RNA", at positions 60 to 645 of the family's 1533-position model. The record is from RNAcentral.